RNAcentral lists this transfer RNA (86 nucleotides) under Alphaproteobacteria bacterium. RNAcentral's name for it is "tRNA-Leu". It matches the Rfam family "tRNA". Rfam says of the family: Transfer RNA (tRNA) molecules are approximately 80 nucleotides in length. Their secondary structure includes four short double-helical elements and three loops (D, anti-codon, and T loops). RNAcentral also lists the same sequence under 1 other name. The record is from RNAcentral. Lineage: Bacteria; Pseudomonadati; Pseudomonadota; Alphaproteobacteria.
GCCUGCUUGGUGGAAUCGGUAGACACAGCAGACUUAAAAUCUGCCGCCCAAAAGGCGUACCAGUUCGAGUCUGGUAGUAGGCACCA